UUCGCGCAUGCGUGCGUGCCUCGUGCGUACCUGCCCGCCUGCGUGUGCGUGCGUGCGUGCGCCUGUGCGUGCGCGCAGUCGCGCACACGGGAGAUGCCUGGGCAGUCUCGGCUUCUGGAACCUCCAGUGGAAACGCAGCUUCUCUCCACACAACUGGGAAAUAGCCAUGCUGAGGUGUAAAGCCAGGGUCUCAACUGAGUCCAAAGUCUGUGUUCUUAAUGACCUUGCUACAUCAUCUAUCUCAUGCUAAUAACGUUCUGAAACUGCAGAGGAGCCUAGGAUAAAAGCGUCCAUUCCCAGGUCACCACGGAGACGGCACCCACUGGCAGACAACCAUGAUCCCCGAGAGCUCUCUGAGGCGGGCGCCACGCCAUGUUUGCAACUUUUAAAAUCUAUAAAGUACUUUGCACUUCCUCGGGAAAGACCUAAAAAUAUGAAGUCACUUAUCACUUCACCUCAGAAGUUAAGCAAAAUUUUCACUAGCUUGAGAAGUCUUCCAAGGUGAAUCGGGUUGGGGAUCUGACCUUGUUUUGGUGCAUAAACUGAACUUGAAUAAAACAGUAGUUCUGUCAGUGGACUAGCACUUACUGAGCCUGAGAAACCCUACUGGCUCAUUAAAAAAAAAUCCAGUCCUCUUUGAACAGUGAUCAUCACUACUCCUGGGUCAGAAUCACUGUUUAUAUAUAAAAAUACUCUCGCAUGAAUAUUUUAUGAUUUACGGUUUAGUUUUGCUGUCAACAUCUACCUUUCUGUAUUCUUUAAACAAGAAUGUUCUGAAAACAACUUGCAGUUAACAUGUCAUGGAAUUCUUGCUAUCGACUGCCCACACUGUGACUAUUUGAUUUCAAUUCAGGUUUUGCGAAAGGAAAUAGUUUACCUGUGGUUUCAUGUAUGUGAUUGAAAUCAUACUUGUCCUUAUAUGAACUUGUCCUAAGCUUCAUACAUUCCUGGAGAAAGGCAAGGAGGGAGAUAAAGAUAUGAAGCAGCAUUUAGAGAGCAGGAGAACCUAUAAUGCCCUUCAGUGGUGGCUACAGAACUGUCUAAGCCACAGACAUUCUACAUCCCAUCUCUCAUGCUUGCUGCAGCUCCGUGAAGUAAGCCUCAUGGUUAUUAUUAGGCCUAAUUUCAAAUGUGGAAACAAGCUUGGAGAGUUAAAUACUCACAAUAAGUAAUAACAAAGACUUGAACACCCAACUUUCUGGCUCGAAGUCGUGGUGCUUCUUCCUAUCGUGUGGCUUCUGUAGUUUCCUCUCUUUGUGUUUUUUGCUUGCACUUUGAUAUUUUCAAGGGGAUAUAAAGCAAGAGGCUGUAUACCUUUCUUCUGCUGCUGCCUACCUUAUCUUCGCACAUUAACUAUUAACUUUCUCUGGCAACGCAGGCACUAGCCUGGACACUUCCCCAUUUUUUCACUGCUGCUAAACGCUGAUAACGGAGUUGAGGUGCCCACAGUACAAAAACUUUCUGCUUUUUUUUAAACUGCAAAGUUGUAUGUAUUUUAAAUUCAGGCUCUAUGAGCAUAGAGAAUUUCUCAUGAUUUCAGGAAACGUUAAGUCGAUCUGAAGCUUAUUCCUCCCCUCCCCCAACAAAUCAUUAAAUAAAGUACAGAGCACUGUGUUUCGCCUGUGGCACCAUCCCAGGAAAGCAUGGUAAUAGCAUCUAAGGAAGUGUUCCAAAGGGCCCUACUGCAGUCUUCCUGUGGAUCUGUUGUCCACAGCUGCAGACUGGCUCCCUGGAAAACUGGAAGCAUUGCUGGACACACCUUAGCAGAGUUUAGCACUCACUGGGAGCCAGUCAAAUAGCCACAGCACAUGUUAUAACACUAUAACAUUUAAGUAUCUCCUAAGACCAACUCCAAAGACUUGUAAAUAAAGAUCUGGAAGGUGUGGGCACUAGUAUUACUGGUGUUUCUCUUCUUGUUCUUCUCGGAGCCAAGUAAAAUGUCUGCCUUUAAGUUUUUAGGCCUCAAAACUCAUUUUUGCUUGAACCUCUUAAAAAAUUCAAAAAGUCAAUUAGGCACUAAUAAGCUGGUCAAGUUGGUUGGAAGCUGUAAUAUAUGUACCUUCCUAAAUACUUCUGAAUAUUUACGAGCUUUUUCGUGGGGUGUACAGGGUUACUUGGAAAUAUUAGAAAUAAAAACCUUGGAAGUAAAUCUUGUUGGUAGCUUCUUCCCAAAUAAAACUGAACACUUAACAGGGAUGAUUAUCCACCACUUUGAAAUACCAGAGAAAAAGACUUUUGCUUAAAAAAAAAAUUAUUUUUAUUUAACUACUAAGCCAUCCAUCCACUGGCAGAUGAGAAAGCAAUAAACUUGUCGAGUUUCGUUAACACAUUUGCUCUUUUUUUAUUUUUUAGAAUAUAGUCUACAUCUGGAUUAAAAAAGUUUUAAAUAAAUUUAAGACAUAUAACAACUGGAACCCUUCAUCAUUCCAUAUACAACACGGAUAGAAUGUCAGCUGGUUCCAUUUCUGAUAAGUCCACUUUCUCAUAAUAAUGUUAUUAUUUUCACUGGCUGGGUGGCAAGCUUCGUACAAGCUGGCCCAGGGCCAGCUUACACACACCGGGGUGGGGGUAGCGUGGAAGGGAUGGAGUAGGGGUGCCACAGGACAACUAUACAGUGUAACAGAAAAUCAUUAAUAAAGUAGUACCGGUUACCGACAGACAGUGCUGUUUGUGCGCAUAUCACAAUGGAAUCGCCGAAGUUUCAGAGCAAGGAGGAGAUUCGAAAUACUUAAGACAGGGCCACUGUUACCAAAAAAAAAAAAAAAAAAAAAAAAG
Sus scrofa (pig) is the source of this 2775-nucleotide long non-coding RNA. RefSeq lists it as uncharacterized. Lineage: Eukaryota; Metazoa; Chordata; Mammalia; Artiodactyla; Suidae. The record is from RefSeq and is a predicted model, not a curated record.